AGGCGAUACGACCUGGAACGGUGUAUCGUUCAAACUCGAGCCACAGGAUGGGCCGGCGGUCGAUUAGGCUGUUGGUGGGGUAACGGCCCACCAAACCGAAGAUCGAUACGGGCCAUGAGAGUGGUAGCCCGGAGAGGGACACUGAGAUACUGGUCCCAGCCCUACGGGGUGCAGCAGGCGCGGAACCUCUACAAUGCGCGCAAGCGUGAUAGGGGGAUACUCAGUGCUUACGGCUCUGCUGUAGGCUUUUGCCGAGUCUAAAACACUCGGCGAAUAAGUGGUGGGUAAGACCGGUGCCAGCCGCCGCGGUAACACCGGCGCCACGAGUGGUCAUCGCGAUUAUUGGGCCUAAAGCGUUCGUAGCCGGCCUGGUAACUCUCUUGUGAAAUUGUCCGGCUCAACCGGACAGCGUGCAGGAGAAAGUGCCAAGCUCGAGACCGGGAGGGGUCAGAGGUAUUCCGUGGGGACCGGUAAAAUGGGAUAAUCCACGGAGGACCACCGAUGGCGAAGGCAUCUGACCAGAACGGAUCUGACGGUGAGGAACGAAAGCCAGGGGAGCGAACCGGAUUAGAUACCCGAGUAGUCCUGGCCGUAAACGCUGUGAGCUAGGUGUUGCGCAUCCUACGGGGAUGCGCAGUGUCGAAACGAAGGUGAUAAGCUCACCGCCUGG
RNAcentral lists this ribosomal RNA (670 nucleotides) under uncultured euryarchaeote. RNAcentral's name for it is "bacterial SSU rRNA". It matches the Rfam family "Archaeal small subunit ribosomal RNA", at positions 156 to 831 of the family's 1478-position model. Lineage: Archaea; Methanobacteriati; Methanobacteriota. The record is from RNAcentral.